UGCUAUCGUCAUUGCGUAGGUUUCGGGGCUGACGUCGUAACGCUCUUCUCCACGCAAGAAAUCUGGCCAAGACAAUAGCCAGGGACAAGCCAGUGAGUACGUUUGAAUGUACUCGCAAACAUUAAGAAUACGGGUGUAAUAUAACAAGGGAUAAUCAUGCUCCGAAAUACUCAUGAUCAUAGCGUCUGUCACGAAUAAACGAAAUCCGUGAUGCACGCAUGCAGGUAAAAUGUGAACAUGCAAUACGGGAGUAGAAAAUAGGAUGCACUGAUCGAGUGUCUGAAAUGACUCCUCGAAAGAGGGUAAAAGAAUUAAUAAUGCCGCAGUCGGGCGUUUGAGCGACACCACAUAAAGGGCUUAUAAAGAAUGAAUAAAUAACAAACAUGCCGCAGUCGGGCGUCUGAGCGACGCCACAUAAAGGGCUUAUAAAGAAUAAAUAAAUAACAAACGUGCCACAGUCGGGCAUCUGAGCGACACCACAUAAAGGGCUUAUAUAAGAAUAAUCACAGUGAAUAUCCAGGAGGUAGAACCAUCCCAGGGAUACUCAAUAAUUCAAAUAAUGUAAAUGGUUGGUCCAUGAUAAUAACAAACAUAAUCCUCAUAUGUCACAGGUCAUAAACAAAAUCUAGUUUAGCCGUUUCUCCAUCCGAAGACCGUCACCAACAUAAUCAUAAUCCAAUGAUCUAGUCUAGCCGUUUCUCCAUCCGAAGACCGUCACUAGAUUCUAGUUUAGCCGUUUCUCCAUCCGAAUACCGUUACUAUGAUCCAGUUUAACCGUGUCUCCAUCCGAAAACCGUCACUAGACUCAUCUCAGACUGUAGUUCUUACCCAUGGACGUGGCCAUCCGAAAUAGAUAUAACCUCUGCAGAGGGUGCACUCUUUACCCACGAGUAACGGAUUUAUUUAGUCCAUCGGGACUAAUUCCGCCUAUGGCCUUUUAAUUGAAAACACGCCUGACUUGCACACAGCAGCUUAACUUACCGGUGUAUGGAAUCACCCACGACACCCGUCAAGCAAAACUCUAAGUGGGGAGGCUACAACCUCGACGUAGCAUGGGAUCAAAUUUAUAUCGCGCGCUCUAAGGGGUGCCCCCCUCUCGGUCCUAACCGGAAACACCCAUGCCCCCGGACCAGGUGGCAUGCCUACCGGAUGCAUCCGGUAUCUUCCACCAUGGCCUCUCUAUACGGUGUGUGCUUUGGUAAGGGGUUGACAACUUACUGAACCAUACCCUACCUGCGGCAGGGACAAGUGAUAGUACAAAACAAGUAGGGGAAGUCACUGAACAAGACUCGACCUACGACCGACUCAGGAGGUCCAAGAAUUCUCCAACAAUAUUACCAAUAACAGACAAACUCACCACUCAUCAAGCCUCACCAUGCCAUACCGGACAUACUCGUCUCGACGAGGAACUAGGGACAAGCUCGUGUCUACCCCAGACCACGACUUUCCCGGCUUCCUUCCGGUAUGCAUGAGAAGCUCACGAGGAUGACUACCAUCAUCAGCAUGACCAUUACUACCAGCAAAGAAUCUCCAUUGUGCAUUCAUGCGAAUGAUUUUUAUCGUCACAUAAAAAAAUAACGUAUGCUCCAAGUCAAGUGGUGUUGUAACCGUAUCAAAACACCACACAAAAAUAUUAUGCCAGAGUUCAGAAUGCUUGCCUUCAAGAGUAUGCAAGGGGGGGGUGCACUUUUGAAAGUUUUCUUCUCUCUCCAAAAUCCUAUUUUGAGAAAUAAUCAAAUAACACGCAUUUCAAACACAGUACAACAAGUUGUCUCCAAUAUUUUUGAAAUAAAUCUUAAAAUAAACUAGAGGAAAUUUAAGAGAGGUAGAAAAAAGAAUCAACUCAUUUGGAGUUUUAUUUUAAAAGAUAUAGCCAGUCAAAGUUUGGUCAAAGUUCUGUUUUAAAUAAAACCAGAAAAAGGAAAACGCUUCGAUACAGAAUACGCUUUCGGGGUAGGGGAUACGUACUCGCGGAAAUACGCUUCCACUUAAGCCAGCGCGGGUGGCGCGGGGGUCACUGACAGUGGGUCCAGAGGGCCCACUGGUUAGGUUUGACUAUUCCCCCCUCUCCCUCCUCUUCUUCUGCCCGAACGGGGCGGGUCUCCGGCGAUCGCCGUCGACGAACGGCGGCUCCUCGAGGGCACCUGAGGGCAGGGAUGGACCCGCCAGACCGGGGCGGUCCUCUCGGUGGUCGCUGGGUCGACGGUGGUGGGAGGACUCGCCGGUGGCGAGCUCCGCGGCGGAGAGGGCUACGGGAGUGAAGUGGGUUUUGGGCUCCGGUGGUUUCCGAUCGAGGCUGAGGCGCUGGGCAGCUCCGCAAGAACAAGGGGAAGCGAGUGGUGGCGCUGGAUGGGCGAGGGAGUGCCUGGUUGCGACGAAUGGCACCGGAAGGCAGCGGCGGCCGAACCGGCCGGAGGUGGGGAAGAUGGCCUUGUCCGGUCAAUCCACUGUUAGGGGAGCACUAGGGGGACAGCCUGAGGCCGCCUGAGAGCUCGGAGGGGCUCGGGGUCUCCUUUUAUAGGUGUUUGAGGCUGGUCCCGCGGCGGCCGUGGAUAAGAACACCGGCGACCGUCGCGCUGUAGCUGCAGGGCGACGUGGCGGCGACGAGCGCGUGCCGACGAGCUUCAGGAUAAGCUCGAGCUGUUCACAAGGGCAGCUGGCGCGCGCGAGUGGCUUGGGCGGCGCCGUCCAUGGCAGGCGCUCACUGCCGACGCCGGGGUGCCGCCAAAAGCCCUGACGGCGGCGCUGUAGGGCGCCAGAGGUGGCGUGGAGAGUGGGCGAGGUUAGUGCGCGGCUCUGCAGGCGAGCAAGGGCCAGGGGUGGGACGCGGCGAGGGCGGCAGUGCGACGCGGCGACUCGGUGCGCGCGCGUGCAAAACGUGCGCUUUGGGCGCGCUCAGAGCACGCACGGGGCAUGCUCGACGAAAUGCCAGGGCAGCCUAGAAUGCUGGAGAGAGGCUGGCAAUUAACAGGACUAGGUUAGGAGUAGCUAGGAGCUUAGUGGACAAGGUUGCUGGGUCAGUGGAUCAAAUCCAUAAUACUAACUAGAAAACAUGCCAAAACUGACUGUGCACACCAAGUGUUCGACAGAAUGCUAAGUGCAUUUAGGCAACUCUUGGAGUGGCCAAAAUCUCCAGAUCAGGGUCUCCCUGGAUGUAAGUGAUGAUGGCAAGGUCAUUUGGGCAAAACCAGAAACUUGCUAGUGCAAGUUUUGCAAAACUACAGUUUUGGGCAGAAAGAAAGAGGUCUCAUUGCAUGCACUUAAAAUCCUCCAAUGGGUCCACUCUCCUGGACUUAAGGGUUUUGUAGGGAGGGCUACAAGUUGGAAAAAGUUCAUGGGCACUAGAGCAAAAUAAAAUAGGGUUGCAGUACAAAUCAUCAAACUGAACCAGAAUGAAAAAGAGGUUGAUUCACUCAAAUUUUUCAAAGAACAACACUGGGUUUUUGCAUGAAGUUGAAUUAUAUGCAUCUACUGACAUCUCCAAACACUUGGAAGAAUUUUUAAAGAAAUAUUUAAAUAGGUUGUAGUGCAAAAGUGCCUACUGGACCAGAUUUGAAAAGUUGAUGUAGAGCUCAAAAUAUCCAAUAACCAAAAGAUAUUUUGGCAUAAAAGUGAUGUGGAAACAUCACAUGACAUCCCCAAAUUUUGGUGGAAAUUUUAGAUGCAUCUGUCAAAUGGUUGCAGUGCAAAACAGGCUCCAUAUUUAUGAAAGAUCAUUUUAAAAGAGUAAAGCUCAAGAAAAAGCAAACCUUGCAAUUAAAUCCAAUGAUCAAGAAUUGUUCCAUAGAGAGAGCAUACAAGUCCAAUAAUAUCUUUGGAAAGUUUUCACUUGAGGUAAAAACCCAUAAUAUCAAAAGGGUAAAUCUAGACAAAUGGAAAAGUUUUAUUUCCUGGCAAAAUUUUAAUGAAUAAAACAAGGUCAAAAUUUUGGGGUGUCACAACACUACCCCCUUAAGAAAAAUCUCGUCCUCGAGAUUUGUUAAAAGCCUUUUUGAACAAACAUUGCUUUUAUCAAAAGAAAACAUUCUACUGUGCAAUAAAAAAAGUGGCUACAGUGAGAGGGCAAUAAGUGGUGUAAUACCACAGUGUGGUACACUGGCAUAGUGUGGAAAAAUCCAUGGUCGGGGAAAAAUGAGAUAUUUCUACGUGGAUACAGUAAUUCAGAAUAAAUUCUAAAUUACUAAAACACGCUGGUCGUACCCGAGAGCACAAUGCUCUCUCUGGCUGACAGGUGGACCCAGGGCCCACUGUCGGCCUCUUUUUCUACCUCUGGCUCUCUCUUCUCUCUCGCGUGCUCUCCCGCGCUUCCUGCACCGGCAACGCCUAGCGCGUAGGGCAUCUAGGCCGUACUGCGGUAGUGCGCGGCGUGCUAGCUGCCGGUGCAGCGUGCACUCACCUCGCGGGCCAGUGCACUGUCGGCACUGCUCGCGGACUCGCCUCCGAACACCGGCGAUCGAGCGACGAGUGGCGCUGGUGGACCUCGCCCACCGUACACCGAUCUCGAGCUAUAAAACGAUCGCGGUGCUCCUCUCUUCUUCCUCACACCUGGCCUCGCUUCUACUUCUCCUUCCUUUUCCUCCAUUGCUGUUAGUAGGGGCUCGAGGCGAGGCUCUAAUGGCGGAGGCGAUGCCGGAUUGGUACGUGGUCCUGGUGUGUGGAGGUUUGGCGACGCUGCUGGGGUUAUCCAUGCUCUUGUACGCGAUGAUCCUGGAUGAACGUCGUGAUGCUGCCGCUCGAGUGCUAGCUCUUCGCGGUGGCGGCGAUCAUGAGGAUUAGGCGCGGCAUCGAGGGCUAACUGCUGUCGGUGCGCUGGGGCAACUUGCACCCGAAUGGUUACUCACAAAUCUCUCUUACUGAGACUGUGGUGUCCUCGGGUGUGAUCAGUUAGGCGCAAAAACAUGCAUGAGAAUUUGUAAUUAGCGCACGCGGUCGAGUGGUUGCGGUUGUGAGUCUGCUGUUACGGUGCUGCAUGAAUAAAAAUCUAUGCCGUGAAGAUAUAUACGCUGCAGCAACUCGGGGAAAGAAAUCUCAUUACAAAAUUUUAUCGCAAGUAAAAAUUAGUUAAAACAAAAUUAACAACAGUAAAACUGCUCACAUAAAUGAAACCAAAAAAUCGGAUCCAUCGCACAAAUUUUUGGAUACCACGCACAAGUUACAACACAUAAAUAAAUACUGGGAUAAUAAAUAUAGCGGUGACGUUUACAAUGUAAACGGCAAAAGGACAGGGUCCUGAGAAAACGCCUCUGGUACUGGGGCACACUCCUCUUCUAUCGGGGGAAGUGGGUUGACAAGUCGAUGAAUGCGCCUCUCCUGGUCAGGCCUCAGUGGUCUGCCAAUAGCGAUCCGAGGAUUUAAAUCAGCGAGGCUCUGGAGAUAACCCAUUACCCGCUGAGUCAAACGCUCCUGAGCGAUAACGUACUGGGCAAGGUUGGCCAGUACUGGAUCUCUCUCAAUUCGUCCACCAGGAAAAGAUGCAACUUCUCCGGGUGCUGCACGACUCGGAAAAUAAUAAUAUCCUCGUUCGCUGGCAUAGGGUACCGCGAAUCGAAGACGAGCGAGUGCUCCGUACGCAGCAACUUCUAUGGCCAUAUGCGGAGUCGGCAUGGAUUUCCCCACGAAGGAAACUUCCGUUGGGUCUUGGUUUGGGUUUGCGGGAGGGAUGUGCACCACUGCCCAAUAUUUCGAGGUGGAUGGAGUGAUCCUCGAUUUGAGCAACUCGUACUGGGGUGGAUGGAUGGCACUCAUGGUAUUGCAGGUAAAGUCCCACAAUAAUUUAACAAAACUACGCGGGGUUGCGUCUGGGGUUCUCAGAUAAAUACUAGGGGUCGGCAUGGCGAAGGAAUGGCUGUGAGAGUUGCGCACAAGGUGAGGGGUACUCGGUAAGGUCACGAGGUGGCCUUUAUAUAGCAUUGGGGCUGGGUUAUCUACCGUGGUGAAGGGUAACUGGUUGUCGAUCCUGUUCUGGGGUCAAACCCACAAAUAUACCUAUCUCAUAAAGGUGACGCAAUACUGUGGGUGCCGUCGGGGUUGGUCUUGGUAGCUGCGCCCGAUAUUUAGAAAAAAUGCAACUGUACGCCAACGUACAUAUGCAUAGCUGCUACUCCAAAAAUAGGGGCGCACAAGCAGACAACAUUUAAUAAAAGCGAUACAAGAUCACACCAUUACAAAGCGUAGGGAAACUAAGGCUUGAUACAACUCGAGUGUCUAGUCUACUUCGUUAAUGUCUAAGUGGGCUGGCCUGGUAGACGCCGGGGUUUCUCCAUGGUUCUCACCGUCGGGAUUUGCUGGUUGAGGUUGAGGGGCUGUAGGGUCGGGGUAGUGGUGGUGACCAUCGCGGGGGUUGCUGGCCACAAUCCCGUUGGAACGGGUUCCCAAAAGGCGACGAAGCGCUUCUGGGGACACCAAAGCACUCUGGUUGAUGGUUGGGGCAGACCUCAAGGGAUCAAUCGGGUGUCCGAACAGCACGACUGGGUUGUCGGCGUCGGGCUCCAUUUCUCCUCUCGCCGGGGCUCGGCGAACCAGUUCUCCACGAGCUGCGAUCAGAUCAAGGGUGAUUUGAUCGAACAGUUGCUCUAGUGCACUUACAUAGCGCACCAGAUGCAACAGUGCAGGAUCUGUCUCGUGAUCUCCGUUGGCGACCUGGGGCGGCCUACCAUACCCGUCACGACUGGGGUAGUAGUAGAACGAGCGACAGUUAACUCUGGGCGACGAGUGCCGGAGUUGAACUAUAGCUUCUCGGGCUGCUAGCUGGAUGGCUUGUGGCUCAAAGGAAGUUGUCCUUCCAGUGAACCUGUAGGGGCAUUCUGGCGACAGACCCCUACCAUAGAUGUGCACAGUGGCCCAGUACUGACGGCUCUCACCGUACAUGGGUCCUUGGUACACAACAUAUUCAGGAGGCUCUUCUAAUGCAUAGGCACGGCGGGUGAGGUUUGCGAGCACGGUCACAAAACCUCCAAGGUUGGUUGCUGUGGUCUCAUUGUGAACAAUGGGGCCAGGCAUCGUGGCUUGGUUUGGGGAAAGAGGCUCUGCUGUGCUGUGUUGAGGCUAGCGUGCCCUUUUUAUAGAAAAAGGGGACGGAGUCUUCCUUCGCACGCUUGCGAAUGAGACGUGUUCGGUGUCGGUCACUGGCGCGUGAUCGACGGGCUAGGCUGACAGGUUAGGCACCGUCCACCGAAAGGCGUCGGGUCACUAUGGGGCUAUCUUACGCGAGAAGCUUGGCCGGGAUUAGGUUAAGGUCUGGUGGUUUGGUUAACCUAGGUUUAUUGACCUGGCUAAGAUAGGAUUAGCCAAUGGUCAGCCUGGCUCUGAUACCAAGUCUGUCGCGACCGGCUUUUCGGGAUAUUGAUAUCCCAGAAAGCGGCCUUUGUGCUCACCAACCCCAGGAUUACUGUUAGCUGAUGAGGCACCAACUUGAUACAAGAAUUCCAAGCAAAGUACAAAAUAUGCAGUACAAGACCAUUGUGGCCUAGGAGUACAACACUUGGUUUCUAGUGGUUGAUGGCGGAAGCGGAUUGCGGUACAUCUGCGUCUAUGGGACUCCAUUUCCCACAUGAACAGCUGACCAGGAUAACUCCUAUCUUCGCGAGGCUGCUAUCGUCAUUGCGUAGGUUUCGGGGCUAACGUCAUAACGCUCUUCUCCACGCAAGAAAUCUGGCCAAGACAAUAGCCAGGGACAAGCCAGUGAGUACGUUUGAAUGUACUCGCAAACAUUAAGAAUACGGGUGUAAUAUAACAAGGGAUAAUCAUGCUCCGAAAUACUCAUGAUCAUAGCGUCUGUCACGAAUAAACGAAAUCCGUGAUGCACGCAUGCAGGUAAAAUGUGAACAUGCAAUACGGGAGUAGAAAAUAGGAUGCACUGAUCGAGUGUCUGAAAUGACUCCUCGAAAGAGGGUAAAAGAAUUAAUAAUGCCGCAGUCGGGCGUUUGAGCGACACCACAUAAAGGGCUUAUAAAGAAUGAAUAAAUAACAAACAUGCCGCAGUCGGGCGUCUGAGCGACGCCACAUAAAGGGCUUAUAAAGAAUAAAUAAAUAACAAACGUGCCACAGUCGGGCAUCUG
RNAcentral lists this long non-coding RNA (8057 nucleotides) under Triticum aestivum (bread wheat). RNAcentral describes it as "long non-coding RNA (TAES_LNC000612)". Lineage: Eukaryota; Viridiplantae; Streptophyta; Magnoliopsida; Poales; Poaceae. The record is from RNAcentral.